This 198-nucleotide ribosomal RNA is filed under the name uncultured bacterium. Its description in RNAcentral is "partial 16S ribosomal RNA". It matches the Rfam family "Bacterial small subunit ribosomal RNA", at positions 328 to 539 of the family's 1533-position model. The record is from RNAcentral.
ACGCUCGACACCUACGGGAGACAGCAGUGGGGAAUAUUGCACAAUGGGGGAAACCCUGAUGCAGCGACGCCGCGUGGAGGAAGAAGGUCUUCGGAUUGUAAACUCCUGUUGUUGGGGAAAAAGAGGAUGGUACCCAACAAGGAAGUGACGGCUAACUACGUGCCAGCAGCCGAGGUAAUCUGAGCGGGCUGGCAAGGC